RNAcentral lists this ribosomal RNA (254 nucleotides) under uncultured bacterium. RNAcentral's name for it is "partial 16S ribosomal RNA". It matches the Rfam family "Bacterial small subunit ribosomal RNA", at positions 524 to 776 of the family's 1533-position model. The record is from RNAcentral.
UACGUAGGGGGCAAGCGUUACUCGGAUUCACUGGGCGUAAAGCGCGUGUAGGCGGCUGGUCAAGCGUGGUGUGAAAUCUCCGGGCUCAACCCGGAAACUGCACCGCGAACUGGCCUGGCUGGAGUGCAGGAGAGGGAAGGGGAAUUCCCGGUGUAGAGGUGAAAUUCGUAGAUAUUGGGAAGAACACCGGUGGCGAAGGCGGCUCACUGGCCCGUAACUGACGCUGAGGUGCGAAAGCGUGGGGAGCAAACAGG